RNAcentral lists this ribosomal RNA (792 nucleotides) under Streptomyces sp. RNAcentral describes it as "bacterial SSU rRNA". It matches the Rfam family "Bacterial small subunit ribosomal RNA", at positions 67 to 873 of the family's 1533-position model. The record is from RNAcentral. Lineage: Bacteria; Bacillati; Actinomycetota; Actinomycetes; Kitasatosporales; Streptomycetaceae.
CGAUGAACCACUUCGGUGGGGAUUAGUGGCGAACGGGUGAGUAACACGUGGGCAAUCUGCCCUGCACUCUGGGACAAGCCCUGGAAACGGGGUCUAAUACCGGAUACUGAUCAUCUUGGGCAUCCUUGGUGAUCGAAAGCUCCGGCGGUGCAGGAUGAGCCCGCGGCCUAUCAGCUUGUUGGUGAGGUAAUGGCUCACCAAGGCGACGACGGGUAGCCGGCCUGAGAGGGCGACCGGCCACACUGGGACUGAGACACGGCCCAGACUCCUACGGGAGGCAGCAGUGGGGAAUAUUGCACAAUGGGCGAAAGCCUGAUGCAGCGACGCCGCGUGAGGGAUGACGGCCUUCGGGUUGUAAACCUCUUUCAGCAGGGAAGAAGCGAAAGUGACGGUACCUGCAGAAGAAGCGCCGGCUAACUACGUGCCAGCAGCCGCGGUAAUACGUAGGGCGCGAGCGUUGUCCGGAAUUAUUGGGCGUAAAGAGCUCGUAGGCGGCUUGUCGCGUCGGUUGUGAAAGCCCGGGGCUUAACCCCGGGUCUGCAGUCGAUACGGGCAGGCUAGAGUUCGGUAGGGGAGAUCGGAAUUCCUGGUGUAGCGGUGAAAUGCGCAGAUAUCAGGAGGAACACCGGUGGCGAAGGCGGAUCUCUGGGCCGAUACUGACGCUGAGGAGCGAAAGCGUGGGGAGCGAACAGGAUUAGAUACCCUGGUAGUCCACGCCGUAAACGGUGGGCACUAGGUGUGGGCGACAUUCCACGUCGUCCGUGCCGCAGCUAACGCAUUAAGUGCCCCGCC